This 433-nucleotide ribosomal RNA is filed under the name uncultured bacterium. Its description in RNAcentral is "partial 16S ribosomal RNA". It matches the Rfam family "Bacterial small subunit ribosomal RNA", at positions 29 to 507 of the family's 1533-position model. The record is from RNAcentral.
AACGAACGCUGGCGGCAUGCCUAACACAUGCAAGUCGAACGAGACCUUCGGGUCUAGUGGCGCACGGGUGCGUAACGCGUGGUAACCUGCCCUUAGGUUCGGAAUAACUCCCCGAAAGGGGUGCUAAUACCGGAUAAUGUCUUCGGACCAAAGAUUUAUCGCCUUUGGAUGGGCCCGCGUUGGAUUAGCUAGUUGGUAGGGUAAAAGCCUACCAAGGCGACGAUGCAUAGCUGGUCUGAGAGGAUGAUCAGCCAGACUGGGACUGCGACCCGGCCCAGACCCCUACGGGAGGCAGCAGUGGGGAAUAUUGGACACUGGGCGCAAGCCUGAUCCAGCCAUGCCGCGUGAGUGAUGAAGGCCUUAGGGUUGUAAAGCUCUUUUACCCGGGAUGAUAAUGACAGUACCGGGAGAAUAAGCACCGGCUAACUCCGUG